Molecule: ribosomal RNA, 781 nt
Filed under: Geobacillus sp.
Lineage: Bacteria; Bacillati; Bacillota; Bacilli; Caryophanales; Anoxybacillaceae
Description: bacterial SSU rRNA
Rfam family: Bacterial small subunit ribosomal RNA
Source: RNAcentral
ACAUGCAGUCGAGCGGACAGAUGGGAGCUUGCUCCCUGAUGUUAGCGGCGGACGGGUGAGUAACACGUGGGUAACCUGCCUGUAAGACUGGGAUAACUCCGGGAAACCGGGGCUAAUACCGGAUGGUUGUUUGAACCGCAUGGUUCAAACAUAAAAGGUGGCUUCGGCUACCACUUACAGAUGGACCCGCGGCGCAUUAGCUAGUUGGUGAGGUAACGGCUCACCAAGGCAACGAUGCGUAGCCGACCUGAGAGGGUGAUCGGCCACACUGGGACUGAGACACGGCCCAGACUCCUACGGGAGGCAGCAGUAGGGAAUCUUCCGCAAUGGACGAAAGUCUGACGGAGCAACGCCGCGUGAGUGAUGAAGGUUUUCGGAUCGUAAAGCUCUGUUGUUAGGGAAGAACAAGUACCGUUCGAAUAGGGCGGUACCUUGACGGUACCUAACCAGAAAGCCACGGCUAACUACGUGCCAGCAGCCGCGGUAAUACGUAGGUGGCAAGCGUUGUCCGGAAUUAUUGGGCGUAAAGGGCUCGCAGGCGGUUUCUUAAGUCUGAUGUGAAAGCCCCCGGCUCAACCGGGGAGGGUCAUUGGAAACUGGGGAACUUGAGUGCAGAAGAGGAGAGUGGAAUUCCACGUGUAGCGGUGAAAUGCGUAGAGAUGUGGAGGAACACCAGUGGCGAAGGCGACUCUCUGGUCUGUAACUGACGCUGAGGAGCGAAAGCGUGGGGAGCGAACAGGAUUAGAUACCCUGGUAGUCCACGCCGUAAACGAUGAGUGCU